RNAcentral lists this ribosomal RNA (526 nucleotides) under uncultured bacterium. Its description in RNAcentral is "bacterial SSU rRNA". It matches the Rfam family "Bacterial small subunit ribosomal RNA", at positions 984 to 1509 of the family's 1533-position model. The record is from RNAcentral.
ACAUCCAGAGAACUUAGCAGAGAUGCUUUGGUGCCUUCGGGAACUCUGAGACAGGUGCUGCAUGGCUGUCGUCAGCUCGUGUUGUGAAAUGUUGGGUUAAGUCCCGNAACGAGCGCAACCCUUUAUCCUUUGUUGCCAGCGGUUCGGCCGGGAACUCAAAGGAGACUGCCGGUGAUAAACCGGAGGAAGGUGGGGAUGACGUCAAGUCAUCAUGGCCCUUACGGCCAGGGCUACACACGUGCUACAAUGGCGCAUACAAAGAGAAGCGACCUCGCGAGAGCAAGCGGACCUCAUAAAGUGCGUCGUAGUCCGGAUUGGGGUCUGCAACUCGACUCCAUGAAGUCGGAAUCGCUAGUAAUCGUAGAUCAGAAUGCUACGGUGAAUACGUUCCCGGGCCUUGUACACACCGCCCGUCACACCAUGGGAGUGGGUUGCAGAAGAAGUAGGUAGCUUAACCUUCGGGAGGGCGCUUACCACUUUGUGAUUCAUGACUGGGGUGAAGUCGUAACAAGGUAAGCGUAGCGAG